This 467-nucleotide ribosomal RNA is filed under the name uncultured bacterium. RNAcentral's name for it is "partial 16S ribosomal RNA". It matches the Rfam family "Bacterial small subunit ribosomal RNA", at positions 29 to 507 of the family's 1533-position model. The record is from RNAcentral.
ACGAACGCUGGCGGCGUGCUUCACACAUGCAAGUCGCACGGAAAGGCCCUGCUUUUGUGGGGUGCUCGAGUGGCGAACGGGUGAGUAACACGUGAGUAACCUGCCCUUGACUUUGGGAUAACUUCAGGAAACUGGGGCUAAUACCGGAUAGGAGCUCCUGCUGCAUGGUGGGGGUUGGAAAGUUUCGGCGGUUGGGGAUGGACUCGCGGCUUAUCAGCUUGUUGGUGGGGUAGUGGCUUACCAAGGCUUUGACGGGUAGCCGGCCUGAGAGGGUGACCGGCCACAUUGGGACUGAGAUACGGCCCAGACUCCUACGGGAGGCAGCAGUGGGGAAUGUUGCACAAUGGGCGGAAGCCUGAUGCAGCAACGCCGCGUGCGGGAUGACGGCCUUCGGGUUGUAAACCGCUUUCGCCUGUGACGAAGCGUGAGUGACGGUAAUGGGUAAAGAAGCACCGGCUAACUACGUG